GGGCGUGUAACUCAGCUGGCAGAGCACUCGGUGGUUUGUCAGUAACUAUCCGAGAGGUAGAGGGUUCGAAUCCCUCCACGCCCA
Molecule: transfer RNA, 84 nt
Filed under: Candidatus Saccharimonadota bacterium
Lineage: Bacteria; Candidatus Saccharimonadota
Description: tRNA-OTHER
Rfam family: tRNA
About the family: Transfer RNA (tRNA) molecules are approximately 80 nucleotides in length. Their secondary structure includes four short double-helical elements and three loops (D, anti-codon, and T loops). Further hydrogen bonds mediate the characteristic L-shaped molecular structure. tRNAs have two regions of fundamental functional importance: the anti-codon, which is responsible for specific mRNA codon recognition, and the 3' end, to which the tRNAs corresponding amino acid is attached (by aminoacyl-tRNA synthetases). tRNAs cope with the degeneracy of the genetic code in two manners: having more than one tRNA (with a specific anti-codon) for a particular amino acid; and 'wobble' base-pairing, i.e. permitting non-standard base-pairing at the 3rd anti-codon position.
Source: RNAcentral